This 78-nucleotide microRNA precursor is filed under the name Schistosoma margrebowiei. RNAcentral's name for it is "mir-3492 microRNA precursor family". It matches the Rfam family "mir-3492 microRNA precursor family". Lineage: Eukaryota; Metazoa; Platyhelminthes; Trematoda; Strigeidida; Schistosomatidae. The record is from Rfam by way of RNAcentral.
GGCAUUCUGUAUUCGUGCUGAGAUUUCGUCACACACCAGACCGCAACAGCUGAUGAGACUUUCAAGAUAAAUAAAGCG